AAUCAAGCGCGAAAAGGGCGUUUGGUGAAUGCCUUGGCAGUAAGAGGCGAUGAAAGACGUGAUACUCUGCGAUAAGCCAUGGGGAGCUGAGAAUAAGCUUUGAUCCAUGGAUUUCUGAAUGGGGCAACCCACCUGAUACUUUGUUAUUAUUACCCUUCGGGGUAGCUAAUAAUGAGGUAAACCAGGUAUUUAUAGACUGAAUACAUAGGUUUAUAAAAGCAAACCCGGGGAACUGAAACAUCUAAGUACCCGGAGGAAAGGAAAUCAAUUGAUACUCCCCUAGUAGCGGCGAGCGAACGGGGACCAGCCGAGCCUCAAUUGUGGUUAGAAUGCGUUGGAAUGCGCAACCAAAGUGGGUGACAGUCCCGUAUAAGAAGCAUGAGAGGACGUAUUAAGUAGGGCGGAACACGUGAAAUUCUGUCUGAAGAUCGGAGGACCACCUUCGAAGGCUAAGUACUCCUUACUGACCGAUAGUGAACCAGUACCGUGAGGGAAAGGUGAAAAGCACCCCGACGAGGGGAGUGAAACAGUACCUGAAACCGAACGCCUACAAUCAGUUGGAGGAUCUUUACGAUCUGACAGCGUACCUUUUGUAUAAUGGGUCAUCGACUUGGUCUCACAAGCAAGCUUAAGCCGUUAGGUGUAGGCGCAGCGAAAGCGAGUCUUAAUAGGGCGUUGAGUUUGUGGGAUCAGACCCGAAACCGAGUGAUCUAGGCAUGGCCAGGUUGAAGGUAAGGUAACACUUACUGGAGGACCGAACCCACAUCCGUUGAAAAGGAUCGGGAUGAGCUGUGCCUAGGGGUGAAAGGCCAAUCAAACUCGGAGAUAGCUGGUUCUCUGCGAAAUCUAUUUAGGUAGAGCGUCAUCCGAAUACCCUCGGGGGUAGAGCACUGGAUGGGUAAUGGGGCCCCACAGGCUUACUGAUCCUAACCAAACUCCGAAUACCGAGGAGUACUAGAUGGCAGACACACGGCGAAUGCUAACGUCCGUCGUGAAGAGGGAAACAACCCUGACCUACAGCUAAGGCCCCUAAUUCAUGGCUAAGUGGGAAAGCAGGUGAGACGACCAAAACAACCAGGAGGUUGGCUUAGAAGCAGCCAUCCUUUAAAGAUAGCGUAACAGCUCACUGGUCUAAAUAAGUUGUCUUGCGGCGAAGAUGUAACGGGGCUCAAGCCAUGAGCCGAAGCUUAGGAUGCAUUUAUUGCAUGGUAGCAGAGCGUAGUGUGACAUAAGACUACGUCUUUAUUGAUCUUUUGUAGUACCAAGGUUUGUUGUUUGGGUGUUCGCACUCAAGUAGCCAAAGGCGGUAGUGCAUAUAAAGAGAUCAUAAAAGACAAAGUCUUUUCUGUGAAGCGGGCCUGUGAGGGAUCCCGUGGAGAGAUCACUAGUGAGAAUGAUGACAUGAGUAGCGACAAAGAGUGUGAGAGACACUCUCGCCGAAAAUCCAAGGGUUCCUGCUUAAAGCUAAUCUGAGCAGGGUAAGCCGACCCCUAAGGCGAGGCCGAAAGGCGUAGUCGAUGGGAACCAGGUUAAUAUUCCUGGGCCAGAUGGAAGUGACGGAUCUCGAGGGUAGUUCAUCCUUAUCGGAUUGAAUGGGCUGCUUAGAGGUCCCUGGAAAUAGCUCCAUCGCUAGAUCGUACCCUAAACCGACACAGGUGGAUAGGUAGAGAAUACCAAGGCGCUUGAGAGAACUAUGUUGAAGGAACUCGGCAAAAUACCUCCGUAAGUUCGCGAGAAGGAGGCCCGGUUUCUAGGCAACUAGAGGCUGGGGGCACAAACCAGGGGGUGGCGACUGUUUAUUAAAAACACAGGGCUCUGCGAAGUCGUAAGACGACGUAUAGGGUCUGACGCCUGCCCGGUGCCUGAAGGUUAAAAGGAGGGGUGAGAGCUCUGAAUUGAAGCCCAGGUAAACGGCGGCCGUAACUAUAACGGUCCUAAGGUAGCGAAAUUCCUUGUCGGGUAAGUUCCGACCUGCACGAAUGGCGUAACGACUUCCCCGCUGUCUCCAACAUAGACUCAGCGAAAUUGAAUUACCGGUCAAGAUGCCGGUUACCCGCGGUUAGACGGAAAGACCCCGUGCACCUUUACUACAACUUCACACUGGCAUUAGGCCGAACAUGUGCAGGAUAGGUGGUGGGCUUUGAAGCGUGGACGCCAGUCUGCGUGGAGCCUCCCUUGAGAUACCACCCUUGUUCUGCUUGAUGUCUAACCGCGGUCCGUUAUCCGGAUCCGGGACCCUGUGUGGUGGGUAGUUUGACUGGGGCGGUCGCCUCCUAAAUCGUAACGGAGGCGCGCGAAGGUUGGCUCAGAGCGGUCGGAAAUCGCUCGUUGAGUGCAAUGGCAGAAGCCAGCCUGACUGCGAGACUGACAAGUCGAGCAGAGUCGAAAGACGGCCAUAGUGAUCCGGUGGUCCCAAGUGGGAGGGCCAUCGCUCAACGGAUAAAAGGUACGCCGGGGAUAACAGGCUGAUACUGCCCAAGAGUCCAUAUCGACGGCAGUGUUUGGCACCUCGAUGUCGGCUCAUCUCAUCCUGGGGCUGGAGCAGGUCCCAAGGGUACGGCUGUUCGCCGUUUAAAGAGGUACGUGAGCUGGGUUUAGAACGUCGUGAGACAGUUCGGUCCCUAUCUUCCGUGGGUGUAGGAUACUUGAGAGGAGUUGCCCCUAGUACGAGAGGACCGGGGUGAACGAUCCACUGGUGGACCAGUUGUUAUGCCAAUAGCAGUGCUGGGUAGCUAUGAUCGGACAGGAUAACCGCUGAAGGCAUCUAAGCGGGAAGCCCCCCUCAAAACAAGGUAUCCCUGAGAGCCGAGGUAGACCACCUCGUCGAUAGGCCAGAGAUGUAAGCGUAGUAAUACGUUCAGUUGACUGGUACUAAUGGCUCGAUAGGCUUGAUUUG
Molecule: non-coding RNA, 2896 nt
Organism: Roseobacter sp. GAI101
Lineage: Bacteria; Pseudomonadati; Pseudomonadota; Alphaproteobacteria; Rhodobacterales; Roseobacteraceae
Source: Rfam